CUGGUUGACCCCUAUCCUGGGCAUUCAGAGUCAUUUCCCGCUCCUUUCUGUGGCUGGAACCAGAAGAAUAUAUCUCAGGUCUAAUAGGGUAUGGACUGCAUAAAGCCUGGGAUUUUUGUGCAUUCUGUUCAUGACAAUGUCUCUAGCCUGUUGAACAGCCCAUAGUAGGCACUCAGCAAACCAAUAGGAACUGAGGGGGUCAAGGAAAUGCCCUGUGAUCCCCCUGAAUCCAACCCCUCUGUCUUUGCCCACCUUUCCUCCGUUAAAACACAGCCUAUAUCAAUGAGGGCCUGGGAGAAAACUGGGGUGGGGGAGGACUGUGCCUCUCUUGACCUUCAUUUACAAAAAAUAAGUUGGCUCCUAGACCCGUGUUGGAGCCACACUGCCCGGGACAGCCCUGAAGCAGCCACGUCCCCACCUUUCAGGAGUCGGCCAAGAGCACGGUGGCUGCAGAAGGCCCUGGCUGAUGGAGAUAACAUUUGACAAACAGGUGCUUUUCCAAUUAUGGAUAACAACAGAAAAGCAGUCAUUGGUUUCUAAAAGGUCAUCAAGAUAUAAAGCCCGUUUGGGAAGGGAAUGACUUACGCAGUGGGCUUGUAUAAAUCUGGAGAAGUUUUAUGCACAAGUCGGACAAGAAAUCUUUCCAGGUGUUCUACAUACGGCUCGGGAGCCAGCAAGUGCGUAUGAAGCCCCUUCACAUGGCUAGUGGCAUCCUAAGGACCCGGCGACAAUUAGUCAUGGCGUCAUCGAACACCAGGCUGGAGGAGGUCUUGGAUGCCACAGCUCCUUUUGAAUUUCAAAGACGUUCAAAUCCCCAUCUGGCUGUUACACUUUUAGGCUAUUGAGAGUGAAAACAAGCACUGACAUGAACACCCAACCAGCUGCCGGUGACAUCGUCCCCUUCUGAGAUCUGAGGACAUGGAUACCCAACCACCUGCCGGUGACAUCGUCUCCUUCUGAGAUCUGAGGACAUGAACACCCAACCACCUGCCGGUGAUAUCGUCCCCUUCUGAGAUCUGAGGACGUGGAUAUCCAACCACCUGCCGGUGACAUUGUCUCCUUCUGAGAUCUGAGGACAUGGACACCAAACCACCUGCCGGUGACAUUGUCUCCUUCUGAGAUCUGAGGACAUGAACACCAAACCACCUGCCAGUGACAUCGUCCCCUUCUGAGAUCUGAGGACAUGGAUACCCAACCACCUGCCGGUGACAUCGUCUCCUUCUGAGAUCUGAGGACAUGGACACCCAACCACCUGCCGGUGACAUCGUCUCCUUCUGAGAUCUGAGGACAUGAACACCCAACCACCUGCCGGUGAUAUCGUCCCCUUCUGAGAUCUGAGGACGUGGAUAUCCAACCACCUGCCGGUGACAUUGUCUCCUUCUGAGAUCUGAGGACAUGGACACCAAACCACCUGCCGGUGACAUUGUCUCCUUCUGAGAUCUGAGGACAUGAACACCAAACCACCUGCCAGUGACAUCGUCCCCUUCUGAGAUCUGAGGACAUGGAUACCCAACCACCUGCCGGUGACAUCAUCUUCUUCUGAGAUCUGAGGACAUGGACACCCAACCACCUGCCGGUGACAUCGUCUCCUUCUGAGAUCUGAGGACAUGGACACCAAACCACCUGCCGGUGACAUCGUCUCCUUCUGAGAUCUGAGGACAUGAACACCCAACCACCUGCCGGUGAUAUCGUCCCCUUCUGAGAUCUGAGGACGUGGAUAUCCAACCACCUGCCGGUGACAUUGUCUCCUUCUGAGAUCUGAGGACAUGGACACCAAACCACCUGCUGGUGACAUUGUCUCCUUCUGAGAUCUGAGGACAUGAACACCAAACCACCUGCCAGUGACAUCGUCCCCUUCUGAGAUCUGAGGACAUGGAUACCCAACCACCUGCCGGUGACAUCAUCUUCUUCUGAGAUCUGAGGACAUGGACACCCAACCACCUGCCGGUGACAUCGUCUCCUUCUGAGAUCUGAGGACAUGGACACCAAACCACCUGCCGGUGACAUCGUCUCCUUCUGAGAUCUGAGGACAUGAACACCCAACCACCUGCCGGUGACAUCGUCCCCUUCUGAGAUCUGAGGACAUUGAUACCCAGCCACCUGCCGGUGACAUCGUCUCCUUCUGAGAUCUGAGGAUAUGGACACCAAACCACCUGCCGGUGACAUCGUCUCCUUCUGAGAUCUGAGGACAUGAACACCCAACCACCUGCCGGUGACAUCGUCCCCUUCUGAGAUCUGAGGACAUGGAUACCCAACCACCUGCCGGUGACAUCGUCUCCUUCUGAGAUCUGAGGACAUGGACACCCAACCUGCUGCUGGUGACAUCGUUCCCUUCUGAGAUCUGAGGACAUGGACACCAAACCACCUGCCAGUGACAUCGUCUCCUUCUGAGAUCUGAGGACAUGGACACCAAACCUGCUGCCGGUGACAUCGUCCCCUUCUGAGAUCUGAGGACAUGGACACCCAACCACCUGCCGGUGACAUCGUCUCCUUCUGAGGUCUGAGGACAGACACUCACAUGGACACCUAAACACCUGCCGAUGAUAUUGUCUCCUUCUGAAAUCUGAGGACAUGGACACCCAACCAGCUGCUGGUGACAUCAUCUCCUUCUGAGAUCUGAGGACAGACACUCACAUAGACGCCCAAUCAGCUGCUGGUGACAUUGUCUCCUUCUGAAAUCUGAGGGUUGGAACACAUUGGCCUGGCUCAGUGUUUCUCCAUGUGGUUUUGAGACCACCUGAGUUGGAACCGAUAUGGGUUCCCAGCCUCACGCCUGGAGAGCUGGAUUUUGCGAGUGUGAGGUUAGGUCCAGCAUCUGCAUGUGUAACGAGCUCCCAGGUGUUUCGUAGAUGCAUUAGGGCUUGAGAAGCUCCUUUCUAGCACCAUCUUCCUUUUUGCGCAUGAGGGAGUUCAGGUCCAGAGAAAUAAAGCAGCAAGGUUAGUGGCACAGCUGGCGCCCCCUGCUUUCUAGGAAUUUAGAAUAUUAUUGAAGAGAGAGGUAUUAGAACCUGUGAAGUCAAUACAGAGACCUCCAGGCGAGUGGCAUCCUCACUGAAACCACUGACAAGUAUGCUGAAUAGAAAGUGUCAUUUCUCCUGGAAGACCCUCAGUGACCCAGCUGGAGGGUCUCUCCUACUCAUCAGCUGUCCCUCACUCUGCCAUUUCAG
This 3167-nucleotide long non-coding RNA is filed under the name Homo sapiens (human). RNAcentral describes it as "HSALNT0245640". The record is from RNAcentral. Lineage: Eukaryota; Metazoa; Chordata; Mammalia; Primates; Hominidae.